RNAcentral lists this ribosomal RNA (320 nucleotides) under uncultured eukaryote. RNAcentral describes it as "partial 18S ribosomal RNA". It matches the Rfam family "Eukaryotic small subunit ribosomal RNA", at positions 1470 to 1796 of the family's 1831-position model. The record is from RNAcentral.
CCCCUAGAUGUUCUGGGCCGCACGCGCGCUACACUGAACAGUUCAACAAGUCUUAACCUUGGCCGAUAGGUCUGGGUAAUCUUUGAACGCUGUUCGUGAUUGGGAUAGACCUUUGCAAUUAUGGGUCUUCAACGAGGAAUUCCUAGUAAACGCAAGUCAUCAGCUUGCAUUGAUUACGCCCCUGCCCUUUGUACACACCGCCCGUCGCACCUACCGAUUGAAUGGUCCGGUGAAAUCUCGGGACGGCGGCUUGGUCGCUUGCGUCCGACUGCUGAAACUUGAUUAAACCAUAUCAUUUAGAGGAAGGUGAAGUCGUAACA